GACGAACGCUGGCGGCGUGCUUAACACAUGCAAGUCGAACGGAAAGGCCCUGCUUUUGUGGGGUGCUCGAGUGGCGAACGGGUGAGUAACACGUGAGUAACCUGCCCUUGACUUUGGGAUAACUUCAGGAAACUGGGGCUAAUACCGGAUAGGAGCUCCUGCUGCAUGGUGGGGGUUGGAAAGUUUGGGCGGUUGGGGAUGGACUCGCGGCUUAUCAGCUUGUUGGUGGGGUAGUGGCUUACCAAGGCUUUGACGGGUAGCCGGCCUGAGAGGGUGACCGGCCACAUUGGGACUGAGAUACGGCGCAGACUCCUACGGGAGGCAGCAGUGGGGAAUAUUGCACAAUGGGCGGAAGCCUGAUGAAGCAACGCCGCGUGCGGGAUGACGGCCUUCGGGUUGUAAACCGCUUUCGCCUGUGACGAAGCGUGAGUGACGGUAAUGGGUAAAGAAGCACCGGCUAACUACGUG
RNAcentral lists this ribosomal RNA (468 nucleotides) under uncultured bacterium. Its description in RNAcentral is "partial 16S ribosomal RNA". It matches the Rfam family "Bacterial small subunit ribosomal RNA", at positions 28 to 507 of the family's 1533-position model. The record is from RNAcentral.